Molecule: ribosomal RNA, 1386 nt
Filed under: metagenome
Description: bacterial LSU rRNA
Rfam family: Bacterial large subunit ribosomal RNA
Source: RNAcentral
GGGCAGGUUGAAGGUUGGGUAACACUAACUGGAGGACCGAACCGACUAAUGUUGAAAAAUUAGCGGAUGACUUGUGGCUGGGGGUGAAAGGCCAAUCAAACCGGGAGAUAGCUGGUUCUCCCCGAAAGCUAUUUAGGUAGCGCCUCGUGAAUUCAUCUCCGGGGGUAGAGCACUGUUUCGGCAAGGGGGUCAUCCCGACUUACCAACCCGAUGCAAACUGCGAAUACCGGAGAAUGUUAUCACGGGAGACACACGGCGGGUGCUAACGUCCGUCGUGAAGAGGGAAACAACCCAGACCGCCAGCUAAGGUCCCAAAGUCAUGGUUAAGUGGGAAACGAUGUGGGAAGGCCCAGACAGCCAGGAUGUUGGCUUAGAAGCAGCCAUCAUUUAAAGAAAGCGUAAUAGCUCACUGGUCGAGUCGGCCUGCGCGGAAGAUGUAACGGGGCUAAACCAUGCACCGAAGCUGCGGCAGCGACGCUUAUGCGUUGUUGGGUAGGGGAGCGUUCUGUAAGCCUGCGAAGGUGUGCUGUGAGGCAUGCUGGAGGUAUCAGAAGUGCGAAUGCUGACAUAAGUAACGAUAAAGCGGGUGAAAAGCCCGCUCGCCGGAAGACCAAGGGUUCCUGUCCAACGUUAAUCGGGGCAGGGUGAGUCGACCCCUAAGGCGAGGCCGAAAGGCGUAGUCGAUGGGAAACAGGUUAAUAUUCCUGUACUUGGUGUUACUGCGAAGGGGGGACGGAGAAGGCUAUGUUGGCCGGGCGACGGUUGUCCCGGUUUAAGCGUGUAGGCUGGUUUUCCAGGCAAAUCCGGAAAAUCAAGGCUGAGGCGUGAUGACGAGGCACUACGGUGCUGAAGCAACAAAUGCCCUGCUUCCAGGAAAAGCCUCUAAGCAUCAGGUAACAUCAAAUCGUACCCCAAACCGACACAGGUGGUCAGGUAGAGAAUACCAAGGCGCUUGAGAGAACUCGGGUGAAGGAACUAGGCAAAAUGGUGCCGUAACUUCGGGAGAAGGCACGCUGAUAUGUAGGUGAGGUCCCUCGCGGAUGGAGCUGAAAUCAGUCGAAGAUACCAGCUGGCUGCAACUGUUUAUUAAAAACACAGCACUGUGCAAACACGAAAGUGGACGUAUACGGUGUGACGCCUGCCCGGUGCCGGAAGGUUAAUUGAUGGGGUUAGCGGUAACGCGAAGCUCUUGAUCGAAGCCCCGGUAAACGGCGGCCGUAACUAUAACGGUCCUAAGGUAGCGAAAUUCCUUGUCGGGUAAGUUCCGACCUGCACGAAUGGCGUAAUGAUGGCCAGGCUGUCUCCACCCGAGACUCAGUGAAAUUGAACUCGCUGUGAAGAUGCAGUGUACCCGCGGCAAGACGGAAAGACCCCGUGAACCUUUAC